CCUACGGGAGGCAGCAGUGGGGAAUAUUGCACAAUGGGGGAAACCCUGAUGCAGCGACGCCGCGUGAGUGAAGAAGUAUUUCGGUAUGUAAAGCCCUAUCAGCAGGGAAGAAAAUGACGGUACCUGAUUAAGAAGCCCCGGCUAACUACGUGCCAGCAGCCGCGGUAAUACGUAGGGGGCAAGCGUUAUCCGGAUUUACUGGGUGUAAAGGGAGCGUAGACGGCAGCACAAGUCUGGAGGGAAAUGCCGGGGCUUAACCCCGGAACUGCUGUGGAAACUGGGCAGCUAGAGUGAAGGAGAGGUAUGUGGAAUGCGUGGUGUAGCGGUGAAAUGCGUAGAUAUUAGGAAGAACACCAGUGGCGAAGGCAGCUUGCUGGACUGUAACUGACGUUGAGGCUCGAAAGCGUGGGUAGCAAACAGGAUUAGAUACCCGGGUAGUC
RNAcentral lists this ribosomal RNA (440 nucleotides) under uncultured bacterium. RNAcentral describes it as "partial 16S ribosomal RNA". It matches the Rfam family "Bacterial small subunit ribosomal RNA", at positions 338 to 795 of the family's 1533-position model. The record is from RNAcentral.